Molecule: ribosomal RNA, 492 nt
Filed under: uncultured bacterium
Lineage: Bacteria
Description: partial 16S ribosomal RNA
Rfam family: Bacterial small subunit ribosomal RNA
Source: RNAcentral
AGUGAACGCUGGCGGUAGGCCUAACACAUGCAAGUCGAACGGCAGCACAGUAAGAGCUUGCUCUUACGGGUGGCGAGUGGCGGACGGGUGAGGAAUACAUCGGAAUCUACUUUUUCGGGGGGGAUAACGUAGGGAAACUUACGCUAAUACCGCAUACGACCUACGGGGGAAAGCAGGGGAUAUUCGGACCUUGCGCGAUUGAAUGAGCCGAUGUCGGAUUAGCUAGUUGGCGGGGUAAAGGCCCACCAAGGGGACGAUCCGUAGCUGGUCUGAGAGGAUGGUCGCCCGCCCUGGAACUUAGCCACGGUCCAGACUCCUACGGGAGGCACCAGUGGGGAAUAUUGGACAAUGGGCGCAAGCCUUAUCCAGCCAUCCCGCGUGGGUGAAGACGGCCUUCGGGUUGUAAAGCCCUCUUGUUGGUAAAGAACAGCAGCAGGUUAAUACCCCGCUGUUCUGACGGUACCCAAAGAAUAAGCACCGGCUAACUUCGUG